RNAcentral lists this ribosomal RNA (267 nucleotides) under uncultured Streptococcus sp. Its description in RNAcentral is "partial 16S ribosomal RNA". It matches the Rfam family "Bacterial small subunit ribosomal RNA", at positions 1114 to 1382 of the family's 1533-position model. Lineage: Bacteria; Bacillati; Bacillota; Bacilli; Lactobacillales; Streptococcaceae. The record is from RNAcentral.
UCUGCCAUCAUUCAGUUGGGCACUCUAGCGAGACUGCCGGUAAUAAACCGGAGGAAGGUGGGGAUGACGUCAAAUCAUCAUGCCCCUUAUGACCUGGGCUACACACGUGCUACAAUGGUUGGUACAACGAGUUGCGAGUCGGUGACGGCGAGCUAAUCUCUUAAAGCCAAUCUCAGUUCGGAUUGUAGGCUGCAACUCGCCUACAUGAAGUCGGAAUCGCUAGUAAUCGCGGAUCAGCACGCCGCGGUGAAUACGUUCCCGGGCCUU